Molecule: small RNA, 29 nt
Filed under: Bombyx mori (domestic silkworm)
Lineage: Eukaryota; Metazoa; Arthropoda; Insecta; Lepidoptera; Bombycidae
Description: ovarian small RNA-37929
Source: RNAcentral
UUGCUGAUGAUUCUAGUUGAGUUUUAUGC